AGGACGAACGCUGGCGGCGUGCUUAACACAUGCAAGUCGAGCGGAAAGGCCCUUCGGGGUACUCGAGCGGCGAACGGGUGAGUAACACGUGAGUAAUCUGCCCCUAGCUCUGGGAUAGCUCCGGGAAACCGGGAUUAAUACCGGAUAUGACCACUUUAGACAUCUGCUGUGGUGGAAAGAAUUUCGGCUAGGGAUGAGCUCGCGGCCUAUCAGCUUGUUGGUGGGGUAACGCCUACCAAGGCGACGACGGGUAGCCGGCCUGAGAGGGCGACCGGCCACACUGGGACUGAGACACGGCCCAGACUCCUACGGGAGGCAGCAGUGGGGAAUAUUGCGCAAUGGGCGAAAGCCUGACGCAGCGACGCCGCGUGGGGGAUGAAGGCCUUCGGGUUGUAAACCCCUUUCAGCAGGGACGAAGCGAAAGUGACGGUACCUGCAGAAGAAGCGCCGGCUAACUACGUCGCCAGCAGCCGC
This 474-nucleotide ribosomal RNA is filed under the name uncultured bacterium. Its description in RNAcentral is "SSU rRNA". It matches the Rfam family "Bacterial small subunit ribosomal RNA", at positions 26 to 518 of the family's 1533-position model. The record is from RNAcentral.